UUUUUAUUUUACUGUCACAGCUCUAACCCUCCUUUCUAUUGGCUAGGGGCCGGCAAAGGGAUCUGUUUUAACCAUAGAAAUGUUUUUAUUAACAUCCCAUCAUGGAUCAGUCGCAGCAGCAGUAUUCAUUUCAUGUCUGGAUGGGAUGGAUAUCUACCUGCAGCAGGGAGAGCCGCAGCGUGAAGAAGCCUCCUGUCGGUGCUCUGGGACCGGGGAGGAGGAGCUCAGCAGCACAAUGGAGAAAUGCGUUCACGGCAGAGUCUCUCAAAGUCUCAAUAACACCAGAAAAAGAAUUGCUAGAUUUUCACUAGUCACUUUUCUGAAUAACAGUCUCUAGAGGGUCUGAAAACUCUGUAAAUAUAGCGAGGAAGUCGCUAAAUCAUCACCGCUGUGUUCCACAACCCGCCACCUCUCAUGUAAGCGAGCAGCGUGUCUGGUCGAUUACGUCAUACUCUGAAGCGGUCAAAUUAUCGUACAUUAUGGGAUUUUUGGGAUUAUUGAUCGUACAUCGUACAGAGGGCCAAAUUAUCGUACAAAUACGAUAAUUAUCGUACACCUGGCAACACUGGGCCUCGCUGUACAAAAGGCCACUGCAUUUAUUGAAGUUUCAACCUGCCACAUGCUAGGAGAUUCUUCUUGCAACCAACCAGAAGAAAUAACCAGCUCCUGACCUCCAGCAGCUGGAUCAUGCAUACAGCAGAACUUCAGCUACUGGUUCAGCAGAGCGUGUUGAGACGGUCCCGCUCCCGAUCCUUGAGGACAUCAUACGUGCCUGUGCUUACCUGACUCUCUUUCAAGCACCCAUAUGCAAGGCCUAUCUGAUGGUGUCCAUGGAGACCGGAUGCGGGCCUAGGUCAUCAGCUGCAUCAUCUGGUUGAGGGUCAGGAUCUGGCACAGCAACCAGAGGCACGGCAUACCUGAAAUCCAACAAUGCAUAAAAUGUGAAAACAAAGGCAAAAUAAAAGAAGUUCAAAAAAA
Long non-coding RNA from Austrofundulus limnaeus, 978 nucleotides. RefSeq lists it as uncharacterized. The transcript is spliced from 3 exons. The record is from RefSeq and is a predicted model, not a curated record. NCBI's taxonomy places the organism in Eukaryota, Metazoa, Chordata, Actinopteri, Cyprinodontiformes, Rivulidae.